Molecule: unclassified non-coding RNA, 10791 nt
Filed under: Haliotis rufescens (red abalone)
Lineage: Eukaryota; Metazoa; Mollusca; Gastropoda; Lepetellida; Haliotidae
Description: uncharacterized LOC124116740, transcript variant X14
Source: RNAcentral
GAAACAUAUUCGGGGCGAACCGGGAUUCGAACCCACAAUCAUAGGUUUCUGACGUGCCCAAGGGACGCAACUCUGCACAGCGAGUUGCGGCGCCUUAGACGACUGGGCCACCCGCGCCCUGAAACAUGUGUCGCUUGAGAUGUGACCUGCCUCCUCAAAUAGCUGACAGAUAUACUUCUGGUCCCAAUUUAUUUUCAUUUUAGUUCUGUAAUUGAGGUCAUAAAUGAGUUUCUCAUUUUUGUUGAGACCACCUUUUUGGCUAAUAUCAAUACAUUGUUGCACCUCAUCUUAAAUAAUGAGUCAACAAUCACAACAACGAUGACUGUAGUUGAAAACGUGAUAUCUGACUCCUCAGCCCAACUGGCAUUACCAUGACAGCAGUAAACACAUGUACAUGACAUCACAAUCACAAGGAACAGAUAUACAUACCGUAACUAAGGAUACAUGAUCAUUCUAUCUACACUGUGUGAGAUGGACAAACUGUCUGUUUACAAAGGGGCAUAACUCUUGUGGCCCUUCUUCAAAAUUAAGCUGAUCACAAACUAUACAAAUAUUUACACAUAUUCCAUUAUAACAAAGUUCCAUUCUUCACUAUGAUGAACACUUCACAUGUAUCUAUCUCUAUUAACACAAGAAUAGUUCAGGCCAUACUAAUGUGGGUUUUCUCCUCCUUGUAUGAGGAAGGUACAAUGUACUUGGACAACUUCCUCAUCUCUGGCUGACGGAUAAACACACAUUGUCUCAAUGUCAUCGUCAUCUGGCCACAAAAUAGACCCGGGUUCGAUUGCUGCAUGGGUACAAUGUGUGAAGCCCCUUUCUAGUGUCCCCUGCAGUGAUAUUGAUGGAAUAUUGCUAAAAGUGGCGUAAAACCAAACUCACACUCUCUUCCACCUCACUGUCCAUCCAUAGCCAGGAAUACGUUUGCUUGAUCUUUUUCCAGUGUCUUUGCAGAUUCCAAGUGACCACCAGUUUCAGCGCUGUGUACAUUCUACAAAAUCUUUUCUACAAGACCUCCAUAUGAACAAUCAACUUUCUAUUCUCUGUCUUGUCUGAGUGCACAUACAGGAGUGGAGCUAUAAUUUCUGCCAAAUGUUUCUUGGUAUGAUGCAAAACCCAAGAAUCGAAGGACUUCAUUUACUGUUGAAGGUGUUGGCCAUUCACGAACAACUCUAGUUUUCUCCGGAUCUGUUUCAACACCAUUUUGAGAUAUAAUGUGCCCCAGACAUGAAACGCACAUCUUCAUGAAAUGACACUUUCCAGGGUUUAAUCCCAAACCAGCUUCUCGAAGACCAUCCAAUACAGUUUGACGCACAAAAGGAAUAACUGUGGACCUUUUCGGUGGACAGAGCCAGAUUAUGUUUACCAAAUAUUAACACAAUCUUUCAUUGUCAUACUGAACUGGUAUCAAGAUUUCACCAGUACGCCACCCACCUUCCACGAGGACACAUACACAGUAGGCAUCGCCGGUGUUGAAGUCAUGCCGAGAAGGGGUCAUGUGCCAUUCCUCAUCGCUGUGGGGACUGGACUCCUUGUCUUCACUACCAUCCUGAAUGUAAACUUUAAAAACUACAAUUAUUUUCGUUUUCUCUGCCAAAAUGGUUCACAGAUCGAGUGCAAAAACGUUUUGGACGAAAUGGUGCGAGGAGCGUGGACACCGAGGAGGGCGACGUUUGAAGAAAGAGAGAAAGUUGAAAAAUUCUUGAUAGCUUCAAGAGGAAAGUAUUUUGUACCAACAACCUUGGCACGUCCCGAUGGUGUUUGUGGAAAUACAACUUUUGACUUUCUGAAAGGCCUACAACACCAGGCUCUGUGGUUCCGACCCCUGUGCGAUCCGUUUGGUCCAACACCAUGUUGCUAUAACAACAAAUGCGUGUAUAAGACAAUGAAGGAAUGUAUGUGUGAGAACUGUUUUGACAUGCGCAGGCCUAUUAAUGCUGAACUUACUGAUUGGAAACCAUCCAGCCCCAAUUGUCAGAUCUCAAUGUUGAACAAAGAUGAAGCGUGUGAACUUAUUAAAGGGGCUACUAUCUACUACAUCGGGGACUCGUUCUUGAGGCAGAUGUACACAGUGACUGUCCAAAUCCUCACUGACAACUAUAAGGACUCCACGCUAAAGUCUACAACACCAACAGGGUGGCGGGAGUACUGUUCAGGCUGGAUGCAGCUGCUGUGCGACUCCUACUUAAACUACGCCGCUCCCGUGUGUGGCGGCCAGACCAACGUCAUCCAUGUUCAACUCAUCACACAAAAUCAAGGCCCAAGAUUACUCAGCUUACUGAAAAGUAAAAAGAACCAGAAGUCUAUUUUCUUUGUGGGCAUUGGUAUCCACGGGACCUAUAAUGAACAACUGGUCUGGAAGAACUUUCUUUCUCCAUCAAUCAACCUUCUACACGAAUACGCAAAAAAUAAGACAGUAUGGCCGAAACUGGUGUGGGUUUCCCCCCACGCUCCCGGAAUACUGAAAACCCCACGGGUUCCAGGCCAGAGUUACAGCAGCGUUGUCAGAUAUAACGCCUUCAUCAACAGCCAUGUCAGAGCAGCUGGGAUACCAAUACUGGACACCUUCAACAUGACAGACGGCAUCAUGAGCUACGAUGGGGCACACUACGGGUUCGGAAUUAACAUGAUCAAAUCUCAGAUUGUGUUUAACUACCUUACACAUCUGCGGGCACAUGGCAUAUGGUGACUCAGCAUGAGAAAGUUUGCUACACGCUCAUACGGUGGGACUGUGAGGGGGUUAAUGCCUCCAACUAGUGUUACACAAGAGAGGUGAGGCUGUUACUACAUCAGUGAACUCCUCUGUCGUUCAAGAGUGUUUACCUGAGCGUUCACCUACACUGUCCAGCGCCUCAUCCGCUCGCAAGUAACGGCUGAAACAGGUGACCUAGUACGUGUGGCCCUGCCUGGUGUUGGAGACGCACCCAAAUGUCGCGACAAACAUUUGACUUGAUGGACUCCUCCCAGAUGGGCUCCUCGGGGCUUCUGGUGGGAGAGGUGCAUUCAAGGAGCAGUGCAAAGAGGAAAAUCCUUCUCGUGACGCUGGGUGUGUGUGUGGUGACGGGAUGUAUCGUUGGACUGGUGUUCGGCCUGAGGCCUCAGCCCGGUGCUCCAGACAUGGCUUCCAGCAAACCGCCUGCGAAACAGACUUGGAUGUCUCAGUCAUGUCUGGGCGGAAACAAACAGUCACAGUGCCCUUGGCGUGACAAGUCCAGCUCUCCGCUGCUUGUGUUAGCGCUUGACGGCUUCCGUGCUGACUACAUAGACCGUGACGUGACACCAACCAUCCAGCACCUGAUAGAGUGUGGGGUGCACACCCCGGGUAUGAGGCCCGUAUACCCGAGUCUUACCUUUCCCAAUGACCAGACUAUUGUCACGGGUUUGUAUCCUGAAUCUCACGGCAUUGUCGACAACAACAUCUACGACGGUGACAUCGGUGACGAAUUCAAGAUAAAGACAAAGAGUAAAGACAAGCCAGCUUGGUGGGGCGGAGAGCCAAUCUGGGUGACGGCAAAGAAACAAGGAAAGCGUUCUGCCACUUUCAUCUGGCCUAUGGCGUCGGCCAUAAACAUCUCAGGAAUUGUUCCAGAUAUUCAGCAACUAUUUGAUCCCACUAUCCCGAACGCGAAGCGUAUUGACACAGCCCUAGGAUGGCUCACGCUGCCGGAGGGGGAGCGACCAGACUUCCUCACUGUCUACAUCGAUGAUCCGGACAAGAUAGGGCAUAAACAUGGGCCUAACAGCACACAGAUGACGUCCAAGCUGAAGGAGAUGGACGAACUUUUGCGACGGCUUAUGGAGGGUCUGUAUGAGAGGGGUCUGCAUGAAUGUGUCAACAUAAUGAUUAUCGCUGAUCAUGGUAUGACGUCCACGUCGUGUGGGCGAAAAAUGUACUUGGACUGCUACACCGAUGUGGACAACGUCCUCAUCUUCGACGGAGUAAUCGGCAGGAUCAGCACAGAAUAUCGGCGUGAGAAGGGCAGCACGGACAUUGUCAGGAACACAGAAGCUCCAUCCCCGUCAACAAUAGUGUCUGACUUGGAGUGCCGGACAGAGCACUUCAAGGUUUUCACCCGCGACACGCUGCCUGCCAGAUUCCACUACAGCAACAACGAACGUAUUGGAGACGUGGUGGUUGACGUCGAGGAGGGAUGGCUCGUCUACAAAAAACAGAGGAACUAUUGCCCUAAGGGAAGCCAUGGGUACGACAAUAGGUUGAAGAGCAUGCAGGCAUUGUUUGUCGGCUUCGGGCCAUCAUUCAAGCAGAACGAAGUGGUGGCUCCAUUUGAGAACAUAGAACUCUACAACCUCAUGUGUGAUGUUCUGGGCAUAACACCCGCCCCAAACAACGGGACAGAGGGAGGUCUCCACCACCUACUCAAGUCUCCCCCGUCCCUGAAGAAGAACACAUUCUCGACAACAAGUUAUCUCCCUUGUCACCGGCCAGAGGGCUUGUGGAGUGAGCUUCAGAACUGUACCUGUACCAGCUCGGAGCAGCAGCAGUUCGUUAUGGACACAGUAGGAGAACAAGCCACACCUGGCCUGCCGCCCCCGACCCUCCACAUCAGUGACGACAUGUGUAUCCUACGGCAGACCCACCACAUUGUCGGCUUCAGCCACACCCUGCGCAUGCCCAGAUGGGUGGCCACAACAUGCAGCCAACAGAUGCUAUUCCCCGACACAACUGGGAGAGUGUGUGUGAUACCAGACGGUCGCCUCACCGCUAGGGACAGAACAACGUGGGCAGGGCUGCAGACCGGGAACAUCACCCACGGCAAUCUUCUCCCAGGGAACUACUACCAAGACGCCUGUGGUGAUCUCGCCCUGUCGUCGACACUAGUCCCCAUGUAUGAUGGCUUCAGAGCAGGUAUCUGGCAGUUUGUAUGGGAGCUGAUUUACAACAACGCUGAUGGAGCUGUCGCUGUCAUUGCUGGCCCCGUGUUUGAUGAUGACCACGACGGACGGGUUGAUACGGAUGACACCAAGAUGAGAUAUGCCGACACCGCGAGGACUGCUGCACUGCCGUCUCACUUCUUCCUGAUCCUGGCCAGGUGUAGGGAGUCGUCGCAGACGCUGCCGUGCGGUGGAAAUGUUGACACUCUCUCCUUCGUUCUGCCGCACACACAGCGAGUACCCAACUGUCUUGACUACAACAGCUACCUGGCUGACAACCUUGUCCGUAUCCGAGACAUUGAGCUCCUGACAGGGCUACAUUUUCUGGACGAAUACCCCUACCUUUCCCACAUCGGUAUCCGCCUCCACCUGGCAACAGCGCUGUGGCCGAGUACACUGAAGACUCGGGGUGAGGAACCACGUGCCGCUCGUGCCCCACAGCAAUGGCUUGACUGGGCGUGCCCCACGGAGGGCGGCUCCUGCCAGUCAGACUACAAGCCUGUCCUCCUCAUCUCCCUUGAUGGCUUCAGGGCAGAUUAUCUGUCAAGGAACGUAACUCCUGUUAUCCAUAAGCUUAUCGAGCACGGAGUUCAUGCCCCUUACAUGAGGCCCGUGUACCCGACCUACACCUUCCCUAACCACUACACAAUCGCUACGGGUUUAUACCCCGAAUCACAUGGCAUCAUCGACAACAAGAUGUUCGACAUAGCGAUGAACAAGAGUUUCUCCAUCGGGAGUCGCUCCAGUUCCGACUCCAGAUGGUGGGGUGGCGAGCCGAUGUGGCUCACGUCUAAGCGUCAAGGAAAGAAAAGUGCAACCUAUUUCUGGGUAGGAUCCGAUCUUGAAAUAGCAGGUGACAGACCAAACUACUACAAACCCUACGCAAAUGAUGUCCCGUUUGAGGAUCGAGUGAACACCGUUGUGGAUUGGUUGUCUCUUCCUCCUGACUCUCGGCCGGAAUUUCUCACCCUGUACUUCAACCAGCCAGACAGCGCAGGCCACCAAUACGGGCCAAACUCAGACAAUCUGGAUCCUGUGUUGAGAGAUGUAGAUGACAUGAUCGGGUUGCUGAUGCAGAAACUUUACAAGAGGAACUUACACAACUGUGUCAACAUAAUCCUGUUGGCUGAUCAUGGAAUGACUCCCAGGUCAUGUGACCGGGCAGUGGCGCUGAAUGAUGUUCUGUUCGAGGAUGAACUGAGCCACGUGACUGCUUACACCGCCAUGUUUGGUCGUAUCAGCAACAAGUACUCCAAGAAGGGGAGCCAGUACACAGUGUAUGACACGCCUCUAGUGUCUGAAUCUUCCAUCCUGGAGCGACUGCAGUGUCUCUCCCCGCACAUGCGCACAUACAGGAAGGCCGACCUACCCAAGAGACAUCACUAUGCCAACAAUGACCGCAUUGAUAACAUUAUAAUGGAUCUCGACAACGAAUGGAUUGUCACUAAAACACGGAACCCGACAUCAGGCUGCAGUGGAGGCAGCCAUGGGGAAGAUAACAUCUACGCCAGUGAGGGGGCUCUGUUUGUUGCUCAUGGUCCUGCCUUCAAGAAGGGGCUCGAGAUAGAGCCGUUUGAGAACAUCGAAGUUUACAAUCUCAUAGCUGACGUGCUCAACAUCACACCUGCUCCCAACAACGGCACCCGUGGAGCUCUGUUCCAUGUAUUGACUAACCCCCCCAGGCUGGAGGCUGAACCCAGCACAAGCUACACGGAUUGCACCGCCACCUCCCAGACUGUCCUCCAGCAAACUGUCAGUCAACACUGUGGCUGCUCUAAUCAGUCGGAUAUGAUGACCACCAGCUUCAUUGACGUCCCCACCACGUCUGAGGUGUCGAUACAGUGUCAGGUACAUUAUGGCAGUCAGACGUCCGUCUUCAACUCAGACCGGGGCAUGCCAGGGUGGACGACGGUCUACCUCAACAAACAGAAGCGUGUGGAGGCGAGCAGCGAGUGUAUUGUUCCAGAUCCAAGUCUCCACCCACAAGACAGAGCCAGGUACAAGCAGUACACCAGUCCACAGCGCGGCAUCACAGCGACCGGCAUGGUCCCAGCCCGGUUUAGUAGCUGCGGUCGGGUCAGUCUGUCCUCGUCGGUGGUGCCCAUGUUCACAGGUUUCAAACAAGGUUUGUGGGCGUAUGCCUGGCGGGUGGUGGAGACGUACCUGGCCGGGGAUGUGGAGGUGCAGGUGACGGCGGGGCCCAUCUGGGACUACAACAGUGACGGCCUGUACGACACUCCCACCAAUAAGACAAGGGAAGAUGGCAGUGGUAUAAGUAUCCCGACUCACUUCUUCUUAGUGAUCUAUAAGUGUGGCAGAUCCGGCGACAGAUUCCCCUGUGGCGAAAAAGUGGACAUUCUACCUUUCAUCCUGCCCCACACCCCGACACUGGUCACCUGUGAGUCACCAGCUCACUACAUGAGAGAGAACAUGGCCCGUCUCCGAGACAUUGAGCUUCUUACAGCCCUGAGGUUCUUCCCUGACCUUGAUCUUGCCAAAGCCGCCUCACUGCGCACCUUCCUGCCAAGCGAGUGGGAGAGUCCACUCACGGCCCCCACGCAGACGGGAUCCUGGAUGCACCACACAUGUAAAGAUGAACCACAGCAACACUGUACCACAGAUUACAAACCCCUACUGCUCAUCUCUGUGGACGGGUUCCGGGCCGACUACUUACAGGACUACAACGUUACCCCUGUCAUCAAACGCCUGUCAGAGUGUGGAGUCCGCACACCCUUCAUGAGAUCUGUCUACCCCACCAAGACCUUUCCCAACCACUACACUAUCGUCACAGGUCUGUACCCCGAAUCCCAUGGCAUCAUUGAUAACAAUAUGUAUGACUCUGAACUGCAUCAGAAGUUUGGCCUUAAACUGGAUUCCAAGGAGGAUCCAAGAUGGUGGCAGGGAGAACCAAUCUGGGAGACAGUCAUGAAGUCAGGCAAGAAAGCAGCAUCCAUUUUAUGGCCCGGGUCAGAUGUCAAAGCACAUUCCCCCAACUACUUCAAGAGAUACCUGAAAGGCGAUGUGGCCUACAGUGACCGGAUAGACCAGCUGCUGUACUGGUUGACGCGCCCCGCGGACCGCCGCCCGGCCUUCCUCACCCUCUACUUGGAUGAACCCGACCACACCGCGCACGAUGACGGGCCAGUCUCGCCCAGGGUGAUGGAUAAACUGAAGGAGGUGGACGCCCUGAUUGGUCAGCUGAUGGAUAAGCUGUUCCAGCAGAACCUCCACAACUGUGUCAACAUCGUCCUUCUGGCGGACCAUGGUAUGACCAGUAAGAGCUGUUCGCGGAUGGUGAGCCUGAAGUCGUAUUUCACACGAUCCCAACUGAGAAAGCUGUUUGUGUAUGAUGGAGCAGCAGGCCGGAUCAGCAACAUGUACACCUACGGCAGCUCCAACAACGUCCCCCUCCAGACGCCGCAAGUGAGCAAGGACACCAUUCUGGAGAACCUGCAAUGUAGAAAUUCCCACCUCCGUGUGUACGACAAGAACCAAUUUCCUGUUCGCCAUCACUACGUCAACAACCGUCGCAUUGAUAGUGUCAUCCUCGACUUGGAUGAACGAUGGAUUGUUUCAAGAACCGGGUCCUUCAGCAGCUACUGCAUGGGCGGUGACCACGGCUACGACAAUCUCUACAAGAGCAUGGGGGCCCUGUUCCUGGCCCAUGGCCCUGCCUUCAAGCAACAGUUCUCGGCGGACACAUUUGAAAAUAUAGAAGUUUACAACUUGAUGACAAGUGUACUUGGUGUCACCCCUGCGCCAAAUAACGGCACCCCCGGGGCGCUGAACCAUAUGCUGAAGGACCCCCCUGCAUCUCUGGAAGCUGACCCACCACCACCGGCAUACAGGAACUGUUCUGAUACACAACAAACAUACACAGAACUGUUGCAAGGCACCUGUAACUGCAGCCUCACUGAACAACAGGCUGCCGACAUCUCUACACUGAACACCCCCGCCGUCUCCCCCGCCAUCAUCCCCGCCGUCACCCCCGCCAUCACCUCCGCCGCCUGUCUGCUGCACCAUGGAGACAACAUCGCCGCCUACAGCCACGACCUGCAUUUGCCUCUGUGGGUCGCAGUCACUGUCAAGCAAGAAAAUGCAAACUCCACGCAUUACUCCCAGGAGCCCGUCUGUGUAGUGGCCGACCCUAUGCUGGACGUCAGUGAGAAACGCGUGUACACCAGAUACCAACAUGGCGCAAUCACUGCAGGGAGUCUUGUACCAGGAAGUGAUGCCAGCUGCAGCUCAGCCCAGCUCUCCUCCGUGGUGGUGCCCAUGUACGACACCUUCCGCACAGGAAUCUGGAGGUACAUGUGGCAGUUGGUGACUACUUACGCUGGCCAGUAUGGUGACCUCGGGGUGACGGUGGGGCCGGUGUUUGACGGCAACAGUGACGGCAGAUACGACGGUCAUGAUGGUCUCUCAAGAUAUGUCGAUGACAUUGAAACAGUUCCCUUCCCAACUCACUUCUUUGUGGUGAUUGUGCGAUGUGGGAAUGACAGUUCUCUCCCUUGCACAGACCAGCUGCAGCUGCUUUCAUUCAUUCUCCCACAUGUGAAGGAAUCGCCCAAUUGUUUAGAGAACCAUAUGCAACUUCUGGAGAACACGGCCAGGGUCAAGGACAUUGAGCUGAUAACUGGUUUCCAGUUCUUCACAGAUGUUGACAGAAACAAGGCGGCCCGACUCGCCACCUUCCUGCCAGAUGCAUUAUGGGAUGCUCCUGGGAUAUCUGAACCAGAACCGACUGUUGAGUGGAAGAACCUGCCCUGCCCGGGGGAAGGGAACAAUACGUGCAGUUCAGACUAUAAACCCUUGCUACUGAUCUCCUUUGAUGGCUUCCGUGCCGACUACCUGUCUCGUGGCCUCACUCCAGUACUGCAGCGUCUGGUGGAAUGUGGAAGCCACUCACCCUACAUGAGGCCAUCCUACCCAAGCAAGACCUUCCCGAACCAGUACACUCUAGUCACAGGUCUGUACCCGGAGUCGCACGGCAUCGUGGACAACACCAUGUACGACUUUGACAUGGGGAAGAAAUUUGCCAUGGGAGGAGAACACUCCUCUGACCCAGGCUGGUGGCGUGGGGAGCCGCUAUGGUUGACAGCUCAGAGGCAAGGGAAGAGGUCUGCAACCUACUUCUGGCCAGGGUCGGAUGUACAGAUUGAUGGGUCCUAUCCAGACACAUAUCGCAGAUACGACGGGUCAGUGCCGUUCAGUGACCGCGUGGAGACUGUGGUCAGCUGGUUGACCAGGCCCGCCGCCGAGAGACCGGACUUCAUCACGCUCUACUUUAACCAACCCGACUCUGCUGGACACAGCGAUGGCCCCAGAUCUGACGAGGCAUGGCUCCCCUCCAGUGUGACCGACUCUUCCUUUUGUCCAACUUCUUCUCCAGGGAUGACAUGCGCACCUUCUACGUCUAUGAGGGAGCCUUUUCUCACAUCAGCAACAAGUACAGCUACAGGAAUAGAGACUCCGUCACUCUGGUUACCAACCCCCAGUUUAGCCUGGCGGAGAUUGCCGAUAAUCUCCGCUGUAAUAACAGCCACGUGCAGGUGAUGUACAAGACGGACCUGCCCCGACGCCUCCACUACGCCAACAACGACAGGAUCGAGGGGAUCUACCUUGACGUCGCUGCCAAUUGGACAGCAUCGAGAUACCGCAACAACAGAUAUUGUUCUGGUGGAACUCACGGGUACGACAACGCCUACAGAACCAUGCAUGCACUAUUCUUGGCAUAUGGCCCAGCCUUCAAGAUCAACAAAACCAUCCCUGGCUUUGACAAUAUUGAAGUAUACAAUAUGAUGGCAGACGUGCUGGGGAUAACUGCAGCUCCCAACAACGGUACACAUGGGUCGCUGAAUCCCAUCCUCCUGUCGCCUCCAAACAUCACACGCACCGCAG